Alligator mississippiensis (American alligator) is the source of this 502-nucleotide long non-coding RNA. RefSeq lists it as uncharacterized. The transcript has 2 exons. The record is from RefSeq and is a predicted model, not a curated record. Lineage: Eukaryota; Metazoa; Chordata; Crocodylia; Alligatoridae.
UCACCUCGUACGGCUCCAAUUCUCCGACUGGGCACAUGCCUAACGCAAAUGUAACGUGCUAUUUCUGCUCUGCCUCCCGCGUUUGACCUUCAGAUUCACUUGCUGUAAAUAAUUCAUGCUGGUAAACCUCCCAGCCAAGCGUUCUCGGGGAAGCAGAAGCAGAAGCGGGACGUGAACUCCACCGGAGAGGGGCUGUCUCGGUGCGGGGCACGUGGACCUCAUGACCCCAAGGUGGGGUGGAAGCAGAGAGCCAGUCAUGGAGAUGCCAUAAAUCUGCAAGUUGCAGCCUUUUGCUGGUGCGGCCUUCCCAGAUGCACACGUUAUUUCAAUUAAAACCCAGCUGCCUGCUCAGGGGGUCGGUAAACGUGCUCCCCACCCACCACCACGGCUGAACGCGGCAUGCUUAAAAAAUAAAUAAGAUUCCUGCUCCCCCCUCCCCGAAUCCUGCCUCUGUUUCUCCUCGUUUUCCUCAAUUAAGUCCUAUUAAAAACAACCAAGUGAA